CCUACGGGUGGCAGCAGUCGAGAAUUAUUCACAAUGGGGGAAACCCUGAUGGUGCGACGCCGCGUGGGGGAAUGAAGGUCUUCGGAUUGUAAACCCCUGUCAUGUGGGAGCAAAUUAAAAAGAUAGUACCACAAGAGGAAGAGACGGCUAACUCUGUGCCAGCAGCCGCGGUAAUACAGAGGUCUCAAGCGUUGUUCGGAAUCACUGGGCGUAAAGCGUGCGUAGGCUGUUUCGUAAGUCGUGUGUGAAAGGCGCGGGCUCAACCCGCGGACGGCACAUGAUACUGCGAGACUAGAGUAAGGGAGGGGGAACCGGAAUUCUCGGUGUAGCAGUGAAAUGCGUAGAUAUCGAGAGGAACACUCGUGGCGAAGGCGGGUUCCUGGACAUUAACUGACGCUGAGGCACGAAGGCCAGGGGAGCGAAAGGGAUUAGAUACCCCAGUAGUC
Molecule: ribosomal RNA, 446 nt
Filed under: uncultured bacterium
Lineage: Bacteria
Description: partial 16S ribosomal RNA
Rfam family: Bacterial small subunit ribosomal RNA
Source: RNAcentral